AUUAGAUACCCGGGUAGUCCACGCCGUAAACGAUGGAUACUAGCUGUUGGAGGUAUCGACCCCUUCAGUAGCGAAGCUAACGCGUUAAGUAUCCCGCCUGUGGAGUACGGCCGCAAGGCUAAAACAUAAAGGAAUUGACGGGGACCCGCACAAGCGGUGGAUUAUGUUCUUUAAUUCGAUGAUAACCGAAGAACCUUACCAGGGCUUGACAUCCAGGGAAGGUCUGCGAAAGUAGACUGUGCCUUUUGGAACCCUGUGACAGGUGAUGCAUGGCCGUCGUCAGCUCGUGUCGUGAGAUGUUAGGUUAAGUCCUUCAACGAGCGCAACCCUUGUGAAUAGUUGUAUUUUUCUAUUCAGACUGCCCCGGUAACGGGGAGGAAGGAGGGGAUGAUGUCAGGUCAGUAUUUCCCUUACGUCCUGGGCUAGAAACGUAAUACAAUGGCUAGUACAAUGCGCANGCGAAGCCGCGAGGUGAAGCAAAUCGCAUCAAAGCUAGUCCCAGUUCGGAUUGUAGGCUGAAACUCGCCUGCAUGAAGUCGGAAUCGCUAGUAAUCGCAGGUCANGCACACUGCGGUGAAUACGUUCCCGGGUCUUGUACACACCNGCCCGUCAAGCCAUGAAAGUCACCAACACCCGAAGUCUGAAUUUAUUUCGGCCUAAGGUGGGGGGGAUAAUUGGGGUU
This 682-nucleotide ribosomal RNA is filed under the name uncultured Candidatus Saccharibacteria bacterium. RNAcentral describes it as "bacterial SSU rRNA". It matches the Rfam family "Bacterial small subunit ribosomal RNA", at positions 777 to 1482 of the family's 1533-position model. The record is from RNAcentral. Lineage: Bacteria; Candidatus Saccharimonadota.